This is a non-coding RNA of Pimephales promelas (fathead minnow), 410 nucleotides long. The record is from RefSeq and is a predicted model, not a curated record. NCBI's taxonomy places the organism in Eukaryota, Metazoa, Chordata, Actinopteri, Cypriniformes, Leuciscidae.
CUCCGAGUUCCUCCGUGACGUGUUGGUUCUCGUGCACCUCUGAGCUGCUUUUAAAGAAAACAAAUUGUCAACACUUGAAGGAAACUAAGAAGAGGAAUGAGGUCUGUCUUUCUCGUCUUUAUGAGGUGAUGAUGUGGAGCAGUUGGAGGGUCGUGGUGACAGGACACAUCGCACACCACAUGCUGCGAGAACAUAAACAGAGAUCUUGAUUAAUAGGGUUUAAACGUCUUUAACUGCAGCUGCCGCCAGCAUCAGCUAAAUCUUGGUCAAGUAUUACGUAUAUUUAUUUAACGUUAAGUAGACGAAUAAUAGGCAGGAGAGUGUAUAUUAUUAUCACAUGCUGACUGUAUAUUUUCCCUCGCAUAUUAUACAGUAAAUAUGGUAUAAUUGAUAACAGCAGUUGAAUUUUU